UUGCUCACAAUCCCAGUAGGCAAAUAAUUGUUUUAGUUUAAAAUGUUUUUGUUCUCACGGUGAAUGGGAGAGUCCCAAAAUGAUCAGGAAUUUUUCUUUAGUAUAAUUCAGAAACAGAAACUCCCAGAUCUGAAAGACCUUUAAAAUAGAAAUCAGAAGGUUCCAGUCUAGAAUAGCACUUUACACAUGAGCUUGAGCAAUUUUUAAAUUGUUAAAAAGUUAGAAAAAUGAAGAAAGCUGGAGGAAAUGAGUCCCUUAAGAGUAAUGUUCAUGUUUUAUUACCUCUGUAAUCAUAUUGCCAAGCAAAAUAGGUAGACAUCUGUUGGACAUUUAAAAUUCGGGGUGUGAUUCACAUUCUUUUCCUCUUACUCUGAUACUAGGCCACCUCUUUCCUGUGGAGGAGUCAUUGCAUGUGGAUCAGGUUUUCUUACAGACCCUGAGAAAUUGGAGGAUGUGCAAAAAGAAAAACAGAGUUCUAAAAAGAUGAGACAUCUCAGAGCAAGGAUGGGUCCAUGGCUCAGAAAAGAAAAUGCAUUUUGAGGACAAAGGACAGGAUGCACUUUGAUUUGGUUGCUGUGCCUCUGGGAGUUUGCCUCAGGAAUGUGAUCCCUUCUCCGGUUUUAACACUAUUGAAAAUUAACUACUUUCUUAUUGGACUUCAAUAUCUUGGAAGGUAUUAUCUCUUGGCUGUGAUGUCCCUUAUAUCUUCCAAAGACUCCUUUCCCUUGAUUACUGUAUCCCAAGACUCACGUUCCCAGGUGUCCAGGUGUAUGACCAUCUUCCUUACUUCUGCUGACCAUCAUCUGUAAAAGACACAGAUGGCUGCAUGGUGAAAGAUAACCAACCAAUGUCCAAGCUCAGAAAAAAGAAGGUGGUGAAUUCAUUUGUUUGUUUUCCUUUUGGGUUGUAAGAAUAAAUCAUUACUCAUUCAA
Molecule: long non-coding RNA, 932 nt
Organism: Myotis myotis
Lineage: Eukaryota; Metazoa; Chordata; Mammalia; Chiroptera; Vespertilionidae
Exons: 4
Source: RefSeq, a predicted model, not a curated record